AAUAGUAAGAUCUGCUCAAUGAUAAUUAAAUAGCCGCUAUUUUCAGUGCUAAGGUAGCAUAAUCAUUUGUCUUUUAAAUAAAGACUAGAACAAAAGAUUUAACAUUUAAUUAUAUUUAUUUAACAUAAUAAUCAAAAUUAAUUUAAAUGUAAAAAAUCAUUUAUACAAAAGAAAGACGACAAGACCCUAUUGAACUUAACUUUAGUUUAACUGGGGCAGUUAAUUAAUUAUUAUUUUAAUCAUACUAAUUACCCAACUAUCUAAUAUAAUUAAAUCAUCCAGUUACCAUAGGGAUAACAGCGCAAUUAUAUUUCAAAGCCCUUAUACAAAAAAUAGAUUACGACCUCGAUGUUGAAUUAAUUACCUAAUUAAAGCAAAUUUUAAAAAAGGAAGUCUGUUCGACUUUUAAACAAUUACAUGAUUUGAGUUCAGACCGGUGCAAGCCAGGUCGGCUUCUAUCUUCUAAAAUACAUCUUACAGUACGAAAGGACCUAAGAAGAUAAUAAGAUUAUCUUAUUGGCAGACAAAUGCGUUAGAAUUAGAAUCUAACUAAGUUCAAAA
This 561-nucleotide ribosomal RNA is filed under the name Anasaitis canosus. RNAcentral describes it as "Anasaitis canosa partial 16S ribosomal RNA". The stretch from base 170 to 464 matches the Rfam family "Archaeal large subunit ribosomal RNA", at positions 2151 to 2715 of the family's 2987-position model. The record is from RNAcentral. Lineage: Eukaryota; Metazoa; Arthropoda; Arachnida; Araneae; Salticidae.